Molecule: long non-coding RNA, 438 nt
Organism: Scleropages formosus (Asian bonytongue)
Lineage: Eukaryota; Metazoa; Chordata; Actinopteri; Osteoglossiformes; Osteoglossidae
Exons: 3
Source: RefSeq, a predicted model, not a curated record
GGACGGACGGCAGCAGCCCCGCUCCCGACUGAGCGCUAAAACAUGUGUAAAAUCCUCCGGGGAGGGAGGGAACAUGGGAUGAGGUUCUGCACCAGAAACACUAUGGCCUGGGUACCUUUCAAUUAUGUGUCAUCAUGUCAAGAGGAGCCCCCAUCCACUCUCUGGCAACGAGUUUCUUCUGGCAGCUCUUCUAAAGAGCAUGUUAACAUGGAAGUACCUGCUGAUCCCAACAUGAAACAAGGAGCUGCAGUCCUCCAGCUGUAAUCCUUGGAUUCUUUUUUGUCUUUCUCACUGUUUUCCUAACUGUUUUGCUAACUGUGCCUGUGUACAAGAUACACUUGUGUCCCCUUUCUGAUGAGUUAAACACUCAGGUUUGUAUUUCCUGAUUACUACCCUAUUUGUACUAAAUUGUUAGUGUAAUUUUUUUAGAAAAUUGCA